GGUGGGGAUGUGUGUACCGGGUGGAAGCCGGAGCACGCUAUCCGUCUAUUGGGCCAUCUAGCCGGUGCACUUUCUCUGUGGUGGACACCACGACCGGUGGAACUGCCAGUCUGCUAUGUUCAAGUCGUAUUCGGUUGGUCCUUGUGGCCUACUGGGUGCGAUCACGGGCAAACUCGGUGAACGGCGUUGAUGUGCUCUCGGGCGUGUCUUCGUGUUAUCGGUAACCGGUUGUCUUAACGGGCUUGCCUUACGAUUGUUCUAGCCGUCGUAGGGUGGUCUGGUGGAGCAUAGUGGUAAGAAUAACUGUGCAGGGCACCGGAGUUCUCGGCAUCAAAUGCAGCCGGCAUGCACGCUGGAAGUGUUAAUGUGGGUGCCCGCGUUGCCUGCCUGUAGUGGGGGUCUGAUUGUCGUGUUGCCUGCGAAAAGUAGGUUCGGCAGUGGCUCUCCUCAGGAUGGGUUGACGAUGGGUGCUUACAGUGUCGGUUGUAGUGUGCCAAACAGUCUGUGGUGUAGUGGUAGACGAGCUACCCGACCCGUCUUGAAACACGGACCAAG
RNAcentral lists this ribosomal RNA (555 nucleotides) under Rhinebothriidae sp. 1 JB-2023. RNAcentral describes it as "partial large subunit ribosomal RNA". Lineage: Eukaryota; Metazoa; Platyhelminthes; Cestoda; Rhinebothriidea; Rhinebothriidae. The record is from RNAcentral.